RNAcentral lists this small RNA (207 nucleotides) under Arabidopsis thaliana (thale cress). RNAcentral describes it as "ATSL065630". The record is from RNAcentral. Lineage: Eukaryota; Viridiplantae; Streptophyta; Magnoliopsida; Brassicales; Brassicaceae.
UUAAAAUAAGUUGGAUUAUACGUUUUCUUAAAAGUAUAUUUCUAGUUAAUAAAUUAUUACCCUUGGCAUUAGUCGGAAAGCAUUCCAAACUCAGGACAGACAGUGUGGUGGUCCUUCGGGGAGAAGUCCACUCUGAAAUACUUCGGUCUGUUUCUACCGAAACUUACCGGAUCAGCCGAUAGUAUUUAUCAACAACAAAAAAAGUUA